This 253-nucleotide ribosomal RNA is filed under the name uncultured bacterium. Its description in RNAcentral is "partial 16S ribosomal RNA". It matches the Rfam family "Bacterial small subunit ribosomal RNA", at positions 524 to 776 of the family's 1533-position model. The record is from RNAcentral.
UACAGAGGGUGCGAGCGUUAAUCGGAAUUACUGGGCGUAAAGCGCACGUAGGUGGCGUCGUAAGUCGGGUGUGAAAGCCCCGGGCUCAACCUGGGAAUUGCAUUCGAGACUGCAUUGCUAGAGUACGGAAGAGGAAGGCGGAAUUCCCGGUGUAGCGGUGAAAUGCGUAGAUAACGGGAGGCACAUCAGUGGCGAAGGCGGCCUUCUGGUCCAGUACUGACACUCAAGUGCGAAAGCGUGGGGAGCAAACAGU